UGUUAGAAUAUGAACAGAUCAAACUAAAUUAAUUUAAACUACCUCUGGAUGAUAACAUGAAAUCGCCGUGAUGUCACCGGCUUGUGUUUGAGGUGAGGCGCCAGCGUGGCUUGACGAACCGAGACUCGGGAUCGUUCUCAGGAACAGCAGUCAAUGAAUAUCGUUCCACGUUUGCAGUUGGCUGAUUCUUGAUAAUCUUUAUGGUCAUCACGAGGUAUGAGAUGUUAACCAUUCAAUCACUUUGUUAACCGUGCAAAGAGGAUGGCGGCAUGCUUUACAACCAG
RNAcentral lists this long non-coding RNA (284 nucleotides) under Helianthus annuus (common sunflower). RNAcentral's name for it is "sRNA HanXRQr2_Chr11g0518241". The record is from RNAcentral. Lineage: Eukaryota; Viridiplantae; Streptophyta; Magnoliopsida; Asterales; Asteraceae.